AGCAGCCGCGGUAAUUCCAGCUCCAAUAGCGUAUAUUAAAGUUGUUGCAGUUAAAAAGCUCGUAGUUGAAUUUCGGGAUCAAUAUUUCGGUCAUGCCGUUGGUAUGCACUGUUAUCAUUGAUUUCUCACCUUCUAAAGAACCGUAAUGCCAUUAAUUUGGUGUUACGGGGAAUUAGGACUGUUACCUUGAAAAAAUUAGAGUGUUUAAAGCAGGCUCACGCUUGAAUACAUUAGCAUGGAAUAAUGAAAUAGGACGUUCGAUCUUAUUUUGUUGGUUUCUAGGAUUGACGUAAUGAUUAAUAGGGAUAGUUGGGGGCAUUAGUAUUCAAUUGUCAGAGGUGAAAUUCUUGGAUUUAUUGAAGACUAACUACUGCGAAAGCAUUUGCCAAGGAUGUUUUCAUUAAUCAAGAACGAAAGUUAGGGGAUCGAAGACGAUCAGAUACCGUCGUAGUCUUAACCAUAAACUAUGCCGACUAGGGAUCGGAUGAUGUUAAUUUUUUAGUGACUC
This 508-nucleotide small RNA is filed under the name uncultured Glomus. Its description in RNAcentral is "SSU rRNA". It matches the Rfam family "Eukaryotic small subunit ribosomal RNA", at positions 569 to 1077 of the family's 1831-position model. Lineage: Eukaryota; Fungi; Glomeromycota; Glomeromycetes; Glomerales; Glomeraceae. The record is from RNAcentral.